This 305-nucleotide ribosomal RNA is filed under the name uncultured bacterium. RNAcentral's name for it is "bacterial SSU rRNA". It matches the Rfam family "Bacterial small subunit ribosomal RNA", at positions 333 to 655 of the family's 1533-position model. The record is from RNAcentral.
UUUAUCCUACGGGGGGCAGCAGUGGGGAAUAUUGCACAAUGGGGGAAACCCUGAUGCAGCGACGCCGCGUGAGUGAAGAAGUAUUUCGGUAUGUAAAGCUCUGUCAGCAGGGAAGAAAAUGACAGUACCUGGACAAGAAGCCCCGGCUAACUACGUGCCAGCAGCCGCGGUAAUACGUAGGGGGCAAGCGUUAUCCGGAUUUACUGGGUGUAAAGGGAGCGCAGGCGGCGUGGCAAGUCAGAUGUGAAAACCCGGGGCCCAACCCCGGGAGUGCAUUUGAAACUGCCAUGCUGGAGUGCCGGAGG